UGGGCUAUAGUCAAGCGGUGAAGACACAGGUCUUUGACACCUGGAUGCCCGGGUUCAAAUCCCGGUAGCCUAG
Molecule: transfer RNA, 73 nt
Filed under: Caudoviricetes sp.
Lineage: Duplodnaviria; Heunggongvirae; Uroviricota; Caudoviricetes
Description: tRNA-Gln
Rfam family: tRNA
About the family: Transfer RNA (tRNA) molecules are approximately 80 nucleotides in length. Their secondary structure includes four short double-helical elements and three loops (D, anti-codon, and T loops).
Source: RNAcentral